This 253-nucleotide ribosomal RNA is filed under the name uncultured bacterium. RNAcentral describes it as "partial 16S ribosomal RNA". It matches the Rfam family "Bacterial small subunit ribosomal RNA", at positions 524 to 776 of the family's 1533-position model. The record is from RNAcentral.
UACGAAGGGGGCUAGCGUUGUUCGGAAUUACUGGGCGUAAAGGGCGCGUAGGCGGCGUGUCAAGUCAGGCGUGAAAGCCCCGGGCUCAACCUGGGAACCGCGCUUGAGACUGGCAUGCUCGAGUUCGGGAGAGGAUGGUGGAAUUCCCAGUGUAGAGGUGAAAUUCGUAGAUAUUGGGAAGAACACCGAUGGCGAAGGCGGCCAUCUGGACCGACACUGACGCUGAGGCGCGAAAGCGUGGGGAGCAAACAGG